This 243-nucleotide long non-coding RNA is filed under the name Trifolium pratense (red clover). Its description in RNAcentral is "long non-coding RNA (TPRA_LNC008070)". The record is from RNAcentral. Lineage: Eukaryota; Viridiplantae; Streptophyta; Magnoliopsida; Fabales; Fabaceae.
GUUGUACUCUGUUUGAUUUGAAAUUUGUUAUGGGACUGGACAAAUUAGAUAACAAGGGACAAGACAAAAACAAGAUUUUUUGUCCCUCACUAAACCACGGGACAACUUUUUGUCCACAGUACAAAUAUAAAAAAUACGAAAAUACCCAUUUUAUUUUCAAAUAUAAAAAUAUUAUCGUCCUAUAUCUUUCCGGUACAAGUUUGUCCUGUCCUGUAUUAUCUUGUUCUGUCCUGUACUGUUCUG